Non-coding RNA from Gossypium raimondii (Peruvian cotton), 121 nucleotides. NCBI's taxonomy places the organism in Eukaryota, Viridiplantae, Streptophyta, Magnoliopsida, Malvales, Malvaceae. The record is from Rfam.
GGGUGCGAUUAGACCAGCACUAAUGCACCGGAUCUCAUCAGAACUUCGUAAUUAACCGUGCUUGGGCAAGCUUUAUAUAAACAGAUUGCGCAAGAGUUGACCGGUGCUUGUGUUGCACCCC